Olea europaea var. sylvestris is the source of this 579-nucleotide long non-coding RNA. RefSeq lists it as uncharacterized. The transcript is spliced from 2 exons. NCBI's taxonomy places the organism in Eukaryota, Viridiplantae, Streptophyta, Magnoliopsida, Lamiales, Oleaceae. The record is from RefSeq and is a predicted model, not a curated record.
CCGCGGUCGGAUUACCCAUUUUAGUUCCUAAUUCAUUAGUAAUUUGGACGGCAUCUUUCUUGCCUUUUCAUUUCUUAUCUACACAGUCUCCAUUUUGCUGCUCAUAAUCCAGCCAUACCUCCGAAGUCUACAGCGCCAACACCAUCGAUUUGGCCACACCUUCAUUCUAGAUUUGGCCAUUUUCGAUUUCGCCGCACAUUUGUUCCGACCAUUGCCUCGAAAUUAUGACAGAAAAGCUUUUUGUCGCAGGGAAAGAAAUUUUGGACGAUGUUGAAACCGUUAUGUUGGUGGAGUCCGAUGACGAGAAUGAUCUUGAAAAUACAAAAUUGCUGGGUCAUGGCGUAACAUGAUGGAAUGGUGUGACUGUGACUGUACCUGAGGUGGGUGAUGUGAUCUCGUUAAUUUGUGUGUUUUAAGUAAUAUUCAACGGUUUUUAUCUUGUACUUAUUGUAAUAAUUGUUGACAACGUAGUUUUCAUUUUUGAGGUAUAGAACUGUCUGAGUUUUGUUCUCGAGCAUAAAGGGAAGAAUGGUUGUGGGAGACUCUUCAAGGAAAAUUGGAGGCAAACUCGUAGAGGGG